CUUACUCUGCCUUUUCCGGGUCAUCUCAGCCCAAGCAGCUCAAAUCCAGCUUCUAUCAGAAUCUACAGAAGGUGUAGAGGAGGAAGAAAAUCCCCUGGGGCUGGGGAAAGAGUUAGAAAUGGUGACAUCACCAGCACAACCACCAACUAGAGCCGAGGAGACAGAGCCCAGCCCCUUGUCCAGGGUGUCCCAGUUAGACGACGCGCAGCAUAGACCUGAACCUGCCAUGGGCUGCAGCCUGCUCUGCUAUGUGGUCCUCGGGCUCCUGGGCACAGUCUCCAUGGACACUAAGAUUACACAGACACCAAGACAUCUGGUCAUGGGAACGGCAAACAAGAAGUCCUUAAAAUGUGAACAGCAUCUGGGACAUAAUGCUAUGUAUUGGUACAAACAGAACGCUCCGAAGCCCCCAGAGCUCAUGUUUCUCUUCAACUACAAAGAGCUCGUAGAAAACAAUUCUGUGCCGAGCCACUUCUCACCUGAGUGCCCUGAGAACUCUCGCUUACUUCUUCACCUGGCCAACCUGCAGCCAGGAGACUCAGCCGUGUAUCUCUGUGCCAGCAGCCAAGACACAGCCCUGCAGAGUCACCGCCUGCCUGUGCACAAACCUCAAGAAUCCAGGAAGCUUUGAGGGCAAUGGAGGGCUCGGCUGAAUAGUUCCUGUAGGACUCUAAGCAGAAGUUGCAAACCAAUGUGGCAACUCUACAGUCUGCGCCCCUACUUGGACAGUCAG
Molecule: non-coding RNA, 733 nt
Organism: Oryctolagus cuniculus (rabbit)
Lineage: Eukaryota; Metazoa; Chordata; Mammalia; Lagomorpha; Leporidae
Source: the annotation of a RefSeq genome assembly